This 460-nucleotide ribosomal RNA is filed under the name uncultured bacterium. Its description in RNAcentral is "partial 16S ribosomal RNA". It matches the Rfam family "Bacterial small subunit ribosomal RNA", at positions 338 to 795 of the family's 1533-position model. The record is from RNAcentral.
CCUACGGGAGGCUGCAGUGAGGAAUAUUGGUCAAUGGACGAGAGUCUGAACCAGCCAAGUAGCGUGAAGGAUGACUGCCCUAUGGGUUGUAAACUUCUUUUAUAUGGGAAUAAAAUGUUCCACGUGUGGGAUUUUGUAUGUACUAUAUGAAUAAGGAUCGGCUAACUCCGUGCCAGCAGCCGCGGUAAUACGGAGGAUCCGAGCGUUAUCCGGAUUUAUUGGGUUUAAAGGGAGCGUAGGUGGAUUGUUAAGUCAGUUGUGAAAGUUUGCGGCUCAACCGUAAAAUUGCAGUUGAAACUGGCAGUCUUGAGUACAGGAGAGGUGGGCGGAAUUCGUGGUGUAGCGGUGAAAUGCUUAGAUAUCACGAAGAACUCCGAUUGCGAAGGCAGUUCACUGGACUGCAACUGACACUGAGGCUCGAAAGUGUGGGUAUCAAACAGGAUUAGAUACCCUAGUAGUC